RNAcentral lists this ribosomal RNA (490 nucleotides) under uncultured bacterium. RNAcentral describes it as "partial 16S ribosomal RNA". It matches the Rfam family "Bacterial small subunit ribosomal RNA", at positions 30 to 507 of the family's 1533-position model. The record is from RNAcentral.
AUUGAACGCUGGCGGCAGGCCUAACACAUGCAAGUCGAACGGAAACAGGAAGCGGCUUGCUGCCUUGUUGACGCGUGGCGGGCGUGUGAGACAUGUCUGUGAAACUGCUUGAUGGCGGGGGUUACUUACUGGAACCGGUAGCUAAUACCGCAUAUCUUUGCAAGCCCAAGGAGGGAGACUUUAGGGCCUCUUUCCAUCGGCUGUGCCCAGAUGGCAUUAGCUAGUAGGUGGGGUAACGGCUCACCUAGGCAACGAUCCCUAGCGGGUCUGAGAGGUUGACCGGCCACACUGGAACUGAGACACGGUCCAGACUCCUACGGGAGGCAGCAGUAGGGAAUAUUGCGCAAUGGGCGAAAGCCUGACGGAGCAAUGCCGCGUGUAUGAAGAAGGCCUUCGGAUUGUAAAGUACUGUCAGUGGGGAGGAACAGAGUAGUAUGUAUAUGUGUACACAUUGACGGUACCCAAAGAGAAAGCACCGGCUAACUCCGUG